GCCCCUAUAGCUCAGUAAGGACAGAGCAGUGGUUUCCUAAACCAUGUGUCGCAGGUUCGAGUCCUGCUAGGGGCA
This 75-nucleotide transfer RNA is filed under the name Candidatus Zhuqueibacterota bacterium. Its description in RNAcentral is "candidate division KSB1 bacterium (marine sediment metagenome) tRNA-Arg". It matches the Rfam family "tRNA". From Rfam's summary of the family: Transfer RNA (tRNA) molecules are approximately 80 nucleotides in length. Their secondary structure includes four short double-helical elements and three loops (D, anti-codon, and T loops). Further hydrogen bonds mediate the characteristic L-shaped molecular structure. tRNAs have two regions of fundamental functional importance: the anti-codon, which is responsible for specific mRNA codon recognition, and the 3' end, to which the tRNAs corresponding amino acid is attached (by aminoacyl-tRNA synthetases). tRNAs cope with the degeneracy of the genetic code in two manners: having more than one tRNA (with a specific anti-codon) for a particular amino acid; and 'wobble' base-pairing, i.e. permitting non-standard base-pairing at the 3rd anti-codon position. Lineage: Bacteria; Pseudomonadati. The record is from RNAcentral.